AGUGCAGCAGUCGGGAAUAUUGCACAAUGGGCGCAAGCCUGAUGCAGCAACGCCGCGUGCGCGAUGAAGGCCUUCGGGUCGUAAAGCGCUUUUCUGGAGGACGAGGAAGGACGGUACUCCAGGAAGAAGGCUCGGCUAACUACGUGCCAGCAGCCGCGGUAAAACGUAGGAGCCAAGCGUUAUCCGAAUUCACUGGGCGUAAAGCGCGUGCAGGCGGCCGGGUAAGUUGGCUGUGAAAUCUCCUGGCUCAACUGGGAGAGGCCGGUCAAGACUAUUCGGCUCGAGGACGGUAGAGGAAGGUAGAAUUCCCGGUGUAGUGGUGAAAUGCGUAGAUAUCGGGAGGAAUACCCGUGGCGAAAGCGGCCUUCUGGGCCGGACCUGACGCUCAGACGCGAAAGCCAGGGGAGCGAACGGGAUUAGAUACCCCGGU
Molecule: ribosomal RNA, 430 nt
Filed under: uncultured bacterium
Lineage: Bacteria
Description: bacterial SSU rRNA
Rfam family: Bacterial small subunit ribosomal RNA
Source: RNAcentral